RNAcentral lists this ribosomal RNA (253 nucleotides) under uncultured bacterium. RNAcentral describes it as "partial 16S ribosomal RNA". It matches the Rfam family "Bacterial small subunit ribosomal RNA", at positions 524 to 776 of the family's 1533-position model. The record is from RNAcentral.
GACGAACCGUGCGAACGUUGUUCGGAAUCACUGGGCUUAAAGGGCGCGUAGGCGGGCUGCCAAGUCUGGGGUGAAAUCCCACGGCUCAACCGUGGAACUGCCUCAGAUACUGGCGGCCUCGAGGGGGGUAGGGGCAUGCGGAACUAUGCGUGGAGCGGUGAAAUGCGUUGAUAUGCAUAGGAACUCCGGUGGCGAAGGCGGCGUGCUGGACCCUUUCUGACGCUGAUGCGCGAAAGCCAGGGGAGCGAACAGG